CGUUGAGCGCCAUGGCUUCAGCGGUCAGGUUUUCCGUCGUUUCUAGAUUUCGAUUCGUCUGUUAGGGCUCGGUUUAUUCCUGCGAUAUUGAUGAUUUAUUUCGAUGGAUUACGUUUGUUAUCGGUGUGUGAUUUUAGGGUUUGGAUUCUUGGCGAUGGGGAUUUUUCUUGCCAGGUUAAAAUUUUUGAUCUAACGAUGCUUGAAGGUUGAAUUUCCUUAUAUAUUUCAAUUUUUUGGAUUGCGUUUCCGGUUUUGAUUCAUCUGUUUGGGAUUGAUUGAUUGAUUCUGCGUUCGUAGUGCUGUCGGUGUGUUUCUAGGGUUUGGUGGCUGGAUUCGUGGCAAUCGCCUCAUUCUAACAGGUUUAAUAAAGUUUGGAUCUGUCGGUGUGUUUCUAGGGUUUGUUGGCUGGAUUCGUGGCAAUCGCCUCUUUCUAACAGGUUUAAUAACGUUUGGAUCUGAUUAUUUUUCAAAGGUUGCGAAUUCCCAAUCGAAUUUUGUGGAUAUUGAUGGAUUUUGAUAUCUCAUCUUAAAUCUGUUGAUCUGCUUUUGGGUUUUUUGAUUUGGUGUGGUGGUUCCAGGGCGUUUUGGAUUCAAUAACUGGUUCAGCUAGGAGUUCGAUUUGAAGAUUCUCUAUUUACCCUGGGUUUUUGCGUAUCUUCUGUUACCUCAUUGAAGUUUAUGAAAUGAUGAUUUAGUUUAGAAAUUUUGAUCCCCAUCCCAUAUAUGUCCGAAUAAAUGGAGCUUUGUUGUUAACUUUCAGGCAUGGAUUGCGGGUUUCAGUCGCAUAGAUGUCUUAAGACUCGAGCGGUUAGGUAUUGUAUUUGGCUAAUGUUUUGAUGGCGUUCUUGUGUGAUUGCUCUGUGGUUGGGUUUGUACUCCUGUUUUCGCGAUAAAAAUCUUUUGAUGCCUCCCUUUCUUCUUAAAUGUUUAUUUUCCUCCUCUCUCAUUCAAAAAUCGUUCUAAAUUUUAUUACCUUCUAUUGGCAGAUACUAAAUUGGGAAUUUGUACGGUAUUAUCAAGCUGGCAUUAUUUUACACGUAAAUUGGGAAUAUGUUCAAAUCGGGUUUAAUGUCCUCAAUAUUGAUUAUUUCCAUUCAAUUCUGCAUCUUUUUGCAGUCGCUCGUUUUCAGAUCUUUUUAUUUCUUUCCUCAGAUUUAUUUUCCUAUCUCAGAAAAUGUUUGGCCUACGUUUAUUUUUGUUUAGCAGCUACUUUUUAAUUUUUAUUCCUAAAUAAAUAUUGGCUAUUAUGUAUUUUAAGGCUUCUUGCCCACAGCUUUUGUUUUAUAGUUCUAAGAGUCUUGAAGGUUUCGUUUUUUGUUUAGCAGCGUCUUAUGCAAAUGCGUUCUAAUUCUUCUUAGCCAGUCACAGCUAAGAUUUUUUGUAGAUGAAAAAUGUUUCAGGGAGCUGGAGGUGUCUCGGUUUGUUUAUGCACCCUGCUUGGCUUCUUGUUUCUGUUAAAUGUCCAUUACAUUCGAUUGCUGUGUUGUCCUGCCCUUGAUGUUUAGUGCAGAUUCAUCAACAGGGUUCUAACUUCACUCUAUGAGUGGGCACUUAAAGAAGGGGUUUCUCUUGGCUUUUGAUUCUUUUUUUUUUUGUAUUUUAGAGCGUAUAGGUUUUGUGCCACAAUCUGAGCAGUUCUUUUGUCUGCAGACACAUUUUAUUCUUGUUGAGGGAGAGCUGGGUGUUUCAAAGAUGGGGUUUGAGUGGUUCUGAGUGUGAUUUAACUUUUAUGAAUUUGAGCCAUUGUUAUAUCAAUGAUCUUAUUAAAAAAAUUUCUGGUUACAGUUUCGCUGGGUCGAGGAAAAUGGCUGCCUGAUUUAAAGGGGGUUUGUUUCUUUGCUUAUGUUUUAACUGUAUUCUUAGGGCUUAUGAGAUCUAGCACCAUUAUUUGUGGAAUAUUCUUUGCAGAUGAUGUAUCUUGUUUGUUUAUGAAGUCUAAUCUUGUUGGAGCAGAACAUGCUGGUUUGGAGGGGGUCUAAGUGCUUUCUUGCUUUUUAAUUGAAUACUCAUUCAUUUGAUUUGUUUGGUCCUACGUUUGUGUCUACCCAUUCUUGUUUGUAUGCAGAUGUGGGUCGAAGUGCACCUUGUUAGGAUUCUACAGUUUGGGAGCUUUGUGUGGCUUGGUUUGUUUAUUCACCCUGAUUGGCUUCUUGUUUCUGUUAAAUGACCAUUACAUUCGAUUUCUGUGCUGUCCUUCCUUUGGUGUCUUAUGCAGAUGCAUAGCUGAGUCCUAACUCUAUCCAUCCCUAGUAAAGAGUGUCGGAGUUUCACUUCUUUAAAACAUGAGCGGGCAGAAUUUUAAUAGGGGGUUCCUCUUGGCUUAUGAUUCUAUUUUUGUAUUUUAGAGCGAAUGGAUCUUGCCAUAAUCUGAGCAAUGUUUCCUUAUGCAGACACAUUCUAAUCUUUUUGGAAGGAGAACAUGCUGCUUCAAAGCGGGGGUUUGAGUGGUUUUCGAUUGAUUUAAUUUUAUGUGAUUUUGAAACAUUAUUUGAACAAUGAUCUUUUCAAAUAUUUUCUGGCUAUGCAGUUUCCCUCAGUUGAAGGAAAAUGGCUGCCUGAUUUAAAAGGGGGGUUUCUUGGCAUAUGUUUCAAUCUCUUGGCUUAUGAUUCUAUUUUUGUAUUUUAGAGCGUAUGGAUCUUGCCAUAAUCUGUGCAAUGCUUCCUUAUGCAGACACAUUCUAAUCUUUUUGGAAGGAGAACAUGCUGCUUCAAAGCGGGGGUUUGAGUGGUUUUCGAUUGAUUUAAUUUUAUGUGAUUUUGAAACAUUAUUUGAACAAUGAUCUUUUCAAAUAUUUUCUGGCUAUGCAGUUUCCCUCAGCUGAAGGAAAAUGGCUGCCUGAUUUAAAAGGGGGUUUCUUGGCAUAUAUUUCAAUCUCUUGGCUUAUGAUUCUAUUUUUGUAUUUUAGAGCGUAUGGAUCUUGCCAUAAUCUGUGCAAUGCUUCCUUAUGCAGACACAUUCUAAUCUUUUUGGAAGGAGAACAUGCUGCUUCAAAGCGGGGGUUUGAGUGGUUUUUCGAUUGAUUUAAUUUUAUGUGAUUUUGAAACAUUAUUUGAACAAUGAUCUUUUCAAAUAUUUUCUGGCUAUGCAGUUUCCCUCAGUUGAAGGAAAAUGGCUGCCUGAUUUAAAAGGGGGUUUCUUGGCAUAUGUUUCAAUCUCUUGGCUUAUGAUUCUAUUUUUGUAUUUUAGAGCGUAUGGAUCUUGCCAUAAUCUGAGCAAUGCUUCCUUAUGCAGACACAUUCUAAUCUUUUUGGAAGGAGAACAUGCUGCUUCAAAGCGGGGGUUUGAGUGGUUUUCGAUUGAUUUAAUUUUAUGUGAUUUUGAAACAUUAUUUGAACAAUGAUCUUUUCAAAUAUUUUCUGGCUAUGCAGUUUCCCUCGGUUGAAGGAAAAUGGCUGCCUGAUAUAAAAGGGGGUUUCUUGGCAUAUGUUUCAAUCUCUGUUUUCUUAAUGGCUUAUGAGAUCUAGCACCAUUAUUUGUGGAAUUUUCGUUGCAGAUGAUAUACUUUAUGGAGUUGGCUUGUUGAAGCAGAACGUGUCGUUUUUAAGAGGGGUUUUAAGUGCUUCCUUGUUUUCGGUUGAAUUUUCUGUUCUUUGGCUUUUUCUGGUUCAUCGAUUUGUGUCUACCUAUUCUUGUUUGUAUGCAGAUGUGUUGAAGUGCAGCUAAUUAGGAGUUGAACAGUUUAAAGGAGAGCGGGUGUCCUUCUCUUAGGGGGUUCCAUUGUCUUCUGAUUAUAUUCUAUUUUCUUAGAGCGUAUAUUUUUGUGCCUUUAUUUGAGCAGAGCACUGUUUUUAUAUGCAGACAUAUUCCUACGCCUGUCUGUGUACGAGGUCCAUGCUUGUUAGCUCUGUUGUAGAACGGGCUGUUUCUAAGAUGGGGUUUGAGUGAUUAUUGGAUUAUGUAAUUUCUUAUUUUUGGUGGGUUAAUGUUACCUCCUACCAUUAUUUGAUCAGUGAUCGAUGUUUCAUAUCAGAUGCUACCUGAAUUUUUGGUCAUGAAAUCUCACUCAGUCGUUGAGCAAUUUGCUAUCUGCUUCGAAAGGGGGUUUGAUGUUUCUUGGUUUAUGCUUACCUUUCUUAUAUAUUGGAGGUUGUGAGACAUGGACCAUUAUUUGCGCAAUUUUCUGUGCAGAUGCGUUUUAGAGUUCGUAUGCGUAUGGAGUUUAACUUUGUUCAAGGAGAAAGGGGUGCUUUGAAGGGGGUUUCUUUUGAAUCUGUUUUAAAUUUCUAUAUGUCGACUCUGUAUGUGAUUCUACGCCUUGAUUUGAGCAACGCUUCUGUAUGCAGACAUUCUCUCUCUUGUCCAUAUAUGGCAACCACCGUGGAAGGAGCAGUUUGAAUAUGGGGGUUUGAGUAGUUCUUGGGUUAUUAUUUUGUUUCUUAUUCCUUUGGGUUGACGGGAGCUGAAAUAAUCAUUGCAACAAUGUUUCAUGCAGUUACAUUCCAGAUAGUCUAUUUAAGAAGUCUGUUGGAUGGAUUGGCCGACUGCUUUUGAAAAGGGGGUUUGAUGCUUCUAAGCCUGUACUCUUGUAUUCAUUAGACUAAAUACUAUAUGCGAUCGUGGACUAUCAUUUGAGCAGUUAUUUGUGCAGAUGCCUUUGUCUUUUGUCUGUUUGUGUAGUCUUUACUUCAUUAUCGGAGAGCAGCCUGAGCAGGCAGCUUUUAAGAGGGGGUUUUUGGGCUUACGUUUAUCUUUUUACUUUCUAUUUUAUUUUUUUAUUAGUACGUAGCUUGUACCUUCCUUUGAGCAAUGGUUUUUGUAUGCAGACACGUCCGGACUCUAUUUUUGUGAAAGGAGAGCGGUGGAUUUUAACAGGGGUUACCUUAUGUUUUUGUUUUAAUUGUCCGUUAUUAGACUUUGUAUGCAAUCUUGCACCAUGAGUGGGCAUUGUUUCUGUAUGCAGACAUAUUGGCGAGCAUUGGAAGGAGGGCAGUCUGAAUGGGGGUUUGAGUUCGGUUUUGGAUGUUAUUUCUUACUCGUUUGGGUUUGAUGAGAUCUGGAACUAUUAUUGGAACAAUGUUUUAUGCAGGACCUAUUCCAAAAUAGUCUGUUUAUGAAGUCUCAGAGUGUUGGAUGGCAACGGGCUGCCUGUUUUAAAGAGGGGUUUAAUAUAUCUUAGCCUAUGUCUUGAUCUCCUAUUUCUUGUGUUUUGCGAUAUUGUUUGAGCAAUUAAUUAUGCAGACGCCUUUUUGUGUCGGAUGGAGUCCAACUCAUUAUAGGAGAGCAGCCAACUUUUGAGAGGGGGUCUUUGGCUUACGGUUUUUUUUUUUUUUUUCUUUUGUUGGCGUGAUAGAGAUAUUUUAUAGUUAUUUGAGCAAUGUUUUUUGUAUGCAGACACGUCCCCACAUUAGGUUGUAUGUGGUGUGCAAGUUUAGUGGGGGAGAAUGGGCUGCUUAUGAAAGGGGGUUUCCAUAGUUUGCCUUAUGAAUUUAUUUCAAGUUUUUUGUGAGUUUUGAGAUGCUGAACCAUUAUACUCACUGUUUAUUUGCAGAUGUGUCCCAAACUUUUCUUUUGCCUCACUCAGUUGAGUGAAAAAUGGGCUGCCUGCUUUUAGGACGAAGUCAGAUACCUUUUCCCUUUUUUGUUUGUUUGUAAUUUAUUUGCUCUUAUGAGACCUCUUAUGAUUUUCAUUUUUUCUUUCUUUGUUUAUAUAUAUAUUUGCUGUAUUAUUUGUGCGUACUUUUUGUAUGCAGAGACAUCCCAGCUUCUGUCUGUGCUCAGAAGGGGUGCGAAAUGCUUUUAGAAGGGGUUUGAGUUCUUGUCUUGUUACUUGAUUUCAUAUUGGUUUGGAUACCAUUGUCUUCCACGCUAAUGCAUUUGCAGACGUUUUUAGCUUGGAGUCUUUCAUGGGGGUCUACUUUAUGGAAUUGUCCUCACAUUCGGUUUGCUAUUCAUCUGUCAGCCGUCACUUUGUUCAUUAAAAGAUUUGUCUUCAUUGGGUUUACACUUAAUUGGCUUCAUUGUCUUUUGGCACUGGUUUACGCAUCUCAGCUUGGUUUAUGUUCAAAUGUUUCAGCUUGUGUGGAUGGUGGUACUCCCUAUUGUUUGACAAACGCUGAAUUUUGUUUGGUGACUUAAAAUUCUUCAUUCGGCAUUUUUUAUUUCAGCAACGCAUUAUUCAGUUAUCUUUAAACAUAGUUACAGAGGAUAGCGGUCUGCAGCUGAUUUUAAGUUGGAUGAUGGUUCUUUUCUUAUAUUUAGUUUUCCUGUAAAGCGCCGUAAGGUCUUUUUGGUUGGUGCUUCGCUUCAUUGAAUCCUAGAGGAGUAUGAGCUGCUUCUAAGAUGGAGUUUGUUACUUGAUGGCUUUUAUUUUCAAGAUGGCACUCUACGUGGACCGAAGUCAUGGAUUGUGGUUUUGUUUCAACAACUAUGUUUGUGUCGUGCUGUGGUCCUGUGCAGAAUAAUGUCAAGUCUCAUGGGGUUGGGCUGGAUUCAAUAUCUUCUACUUUCCUUGGCCAGAGAUUUCUUCCGGGAGUUGCUUUUAAUUUAAGAGGUUCAUGCUUUCUGUCCUAUCAAGUUAUCGUUUAAUUUGCCAUCUGUAAGAGUUCAUAAUAUCCAGGCAGCUAUGUAUGUCGAUGCAUUCCGCAAGGCAUUUGUUAGAAACUUAGAGGGGGUGUUUAACGUGCUUACUAUCUGGCAGCAGUGUUUGGGAUAUAUGAUUAUGCAUUGAGGAGCUUAUUUCUUUUUCUUGAAUGAGUAUCAUGUUGAAGUUGAUGGAACUGACCGUAGAAGAUGUUGUGGAGUCGGGUUUUAUCCUAUUCAGACUUUAUUAUUUCCCUGUUUCUCAUCGAUCAUCUCUUUAGUUUCCCUUAUGUACUUUGUCAUUAGUGUUGGUAUUACUUAUGCAGAUGUAACUUUGGUGAGGUCUUGCUUGAUUUCAAGUUUUGAUGAUGGAAAUAAAAGUGGUAUAAAUGUCCUUUUUCCCUUUUGUAUUGAAGUUUCGCAAUCUCGUAUCAUGAAUUUAUUAUCACUGUCCAAUUCAGUUUUUAUUUUUUUAUUUUUAUUUUUUAAAUCUGAUCCUCGUUUGGCUUUAGAUCCGGUUUAUUGUCGACGUGGAAGCUGUGCAG
Molecule: long non-coding RNA, 7065 nt
Filed under: Malus domestica (apple)
Lineage: Eukaryota; Viridiplantae; Streptophyta; Magnoliopsida; Rosales; Rosaceae
Description: long non-coding RNA (MDOM_LNC007251)
Source: RNAcentral